Molecule: ribosomal RNA, 492 nt
Filed under: uncultured bacterium
Lineage: Bacteria
Description: partial 16S ribosomal RNA
Rfam family: Bacterial small subunit ribosomal RNA
Source: RNAcentral
AGUGAACGCUGGCGGUAGGCCUAACACAUGCAAGUCGAACGGCAGCACAGUAAGAGCUUGCUCUUACGGGUGGCGAGUGGCGGACGGGUGAGGAAUACAUCGGAAUCUACUUUUUCGUGGGGGAUAACGUAGGGAAACUUACGCUAAUACCGCAUACGACCUACGGGUGAAAGCAGGGGAUCUUCGGACCUUGCGCGAUUGAAUGAGCCGAUGUCGGAUUAGCUAGUUGGCGGGGUAAAGGCCCACCAAGGCGACGAUCCGUAGCUGGUCUGAGAGGAUGAUCAGCCAAACUUGAACUGAGACACGGUCCAGACUCCUACGGGAGGCAGCAGUGGGGAAUAUUGGACAAAGGGCGCAAGCCUGAUCCAGCCAUACCGCGUGGGUGAAGAAGGCCUUCGGGUUGUAAAGCCCUUUUGUUGGGAAAGAAAAGCAGCAGGUUAAUACCCCGCUGUUCUGACGGUACCCAAAGAAUAAGCACCGGCUAACUUCGUG